This 1137-nucleotide long non-coding RNA is filed under the name Brassica napus (rape). Its description in RNAcentral is "long non-coding RNA (BNAP_LNC013833)". Lineage: Eukaryota; Viridiplantae; Streptophyta; Magnoliopsida; Brassicales; Brassicaceae. The record is from RNAcentral.
UUGGGUUUAGAGUUUAUCCUUUGAGUUUAGGAUUUAUCAUUUGGGUUUAGGGUUUAUCUUUUAGAUAUAUGAAAAAACCCAUAAGAAGACAUAGGAUAACUUCUUGCAUUAUGAAUUAACCGCCAUUACAACUAAUAUUAAGAUUAGUUGUUCUUAUAAAGUCUUAUCUAGUUAACAACAUUUCAAUUACAUGUUGGAGUUGUUAGCUAGAAUUUAUCCAAGGGUUUAGGGUUUACCCAAAGAUUUAAAGUUUUGUGUUUAAGAUUUACCCAACGGUUUAAAGUUUACCCAAAGUUUUAGGGUUUAGUGUUUAUGAUUAGGGUUUAAUGACGGCGUUAGCAAUGUUAAAAAAAAAUUCCAUUUUUUGCAGCUACUGCUAUUUUUUAUUUAUUUUUAAAAAAUUGACAAUUUUUUUUUAUUAUUUUUUUUUUCAAAAAAAUUGAAAAUGAAGUGGCAAUCUGUUAUUGGUUGGUGAACCUACCUAAGAAAAACUCUUGGGUUCACCUCACCUCCUAGGAUGAACCAGUAGAUUUAUCAACCAAUAGUAUUUUGUUAUUUCAUAUUCCAUAUCUUUUUAAAAAGAAAACAAAAUAAAAAAUUCAUCAAGUUAUAUUAUGUUUUUAAAAUAAAAAGAUGAAAAUAAUUAGAAAAUAGUAAUGGCUGUCAAAAAAAGAUUUUUUUUUUUAAAUAUGCCGGCAAUACAGUAAACCCUAAAAUCCUAAUUACGAAAUCUAAAUACUAAAUCCUAAAUCAUUGGGUAAACUCUAAACCCUUGGGAAACCAUAAAUCCUAGAGUUUAGGGUUUAAGAUUAAGGAUUUAGUGUUUUAAGAUUUUAGUGUUUAGUGUUUAUGAUUUGGGGUUUAAGAUUUAUCCAAUGGUUUAGGGUUUACCCAAAGAUUUAGGGUUUAGUAUUAAGGGUUUAGUGUUUUGGUAACGACGUUAAAAAUCCUUUUUUUUGCUACUAUUUUUAUUUAUUUUACAUUUUUAUUUUAAAAAUAUAAUAUAAUUUGUUUUUAUUGUUUUUUUACUUUUUAUAAAAAAAUAUGAAAUAUGAAAUAAUAAAAUACUAGAGUUGAACCCAAGAAACACUCUUAUUUUAGUGGGUACAAUUGAGUUUAAAACAUUUAAUUUAAAUA